AAGAAAAUGCAAAGUUCAGGGAUCAUUUCUAUAGUUAUUAGUAGAGAAGUUUCUCUGAUCAUACAGAGCACCUGAAACCCUGAGGAGGAGUCAGAGUAUUCUUCCCUGAGCGUGAAGCCCAUUCUAAGUGUUGCUUUUGCAAUUACCUUUUCCUAUUAAUGAUUAUUCUCUCUUCCCUUGGAAGACGGAGAGGGAGAAGAUGCAGUUUGAAUGG
Molecule: small nucleolar RNA, 214 nt
Organism: Sorex araneus (European shrew)
Lineage: Eukaryota; Metazoa; Chordata; Mammalia; Eulipotyphla; Soricidae
Gene: U3
Rfam family: Small nucleolar RNA U3
About the family: Small nucleolar RNAs (snoRNAs) are involved in the processing and modification of rRNA in the nucleolus. There are two main classes of snoRNAs: the box C/D class, and the box H/ACA class.
Source: Ensembl